Long non-coding RNA from Bombina bombina (fire-bellied toad), 249 nucleotides. RefSeq lists it as uncharacterized. Lineage: Eukaryota; Metazoa; Chordata; Amphibia; Anura; Bombinatoridae. The transcript is spliced from 2 exons. The record is from RefSeq and is a predicted model, not a curated record.
GGUCACUAUAGAAGCUUAAAAUGAAGUACCUUUAUCCACUAGAGGGAGCUUGAGAACCUUACUUUGUUUGAUGUAUGAAAGUGUUAACUAUAUGGGUCCACACCCACACAGCAGGAGCCAAAGUGCAAGAAAAAUUAGGAAUACUCCAACCACGACCCCAGAAACCACUCCUGCCAGAAAUCCUAUGUUGCUUGCAACUGUUGUGCAGAGCAAAGACACAAAAAGAGUAAAAACAUUAAUUGUUCACUA